GGGGCUGGAUGGGGUACUGGUGUCCUCCGCGGUCUUCAAAACCGUCUGUGACCUGCGUGCCAGGUUGGGUGGGUUCGAUUCCCACGCGGUCCCGCCA
This 97-nucleotide transfer RNA is filed under the name Bacillus sp. DNRA2. RNAcentral's name for it is "tRNA-Sec". It matches the Rfam family "Selenocysteine transfer RNA". The record is from RNAcentral. Lineage: Bacteria; Bacillati; Bacillota; Bacilli; Caryophanales; Bacillaceae.